CGGCUGCUUGUUGGAUGGAACGUGCCAGUUAUAGCUGAUGGUGGUAUUUCAUACUCUAGACGUAUUGUCAAUGCAAGGACGGCCACCAAGUAAGAAAGAAAAAUACAAAGACAUGGGCUCCAUCGAAGCCAUGACAAAGCAAUAAUAUAUGAGAUCAUAUAUCUGCAUCUGCGUCUGUCUACCAGUAUCAUCCAGCAAACAUUUGUAUCCAUCCGACAGAAAAUCCAGG
This 229-nucleotide long non-coding RNA is filed under the name Hordeum vulgare. RNAcentral's name for it is "long non-coding RNA (HVUL_LNC001426)". Lineage: Eukaryota; Viridiplantae; Streptophyta; Magnoliopsida; Poales; Poaceae. The record is from RNAcentral.